Molecule: ribosomal RNA, 228 nt
Filed under: uncultured bacterium
Lineage: Bacteria
Description: partial 16S ribosomal RNA
Rfam family: Bacterial small subunit ribosomal RNA
Source: RNAcentral
CGGGAACACGUACGCAAUCUACCCCAAAACUAGAUGAAUAGCCCUCCGAAAGGAGGAUUAAUACAUCGUAACUUAAUGAAGUGGCAUCACUUCAUUAAUAUAGCUCCGGCGGUUUUGGAUGAGCGUGCGCCUGAUUAGGUAGUUGGCGGGGUAACGGCCCACCAAGCCUGCGAUCAGUAACUGGUGUGAGAGCACGACCAGUCACACGGGCACUGAGACACGGGCCCG